CACGUAGGGGGCGAGCGUUGUCCGGAUUUAUUGGGCGUAAAGAGCUCGUAGGCGGUUCGGCAAGUCGGGUGUGAAAUUUCGAGGCUCAACCUCGAAACGCCACUCGAUACUGCUGUGACUCGAGUCCGGUAGGGGAGUGUGGAAUUCCCGGUGUAGCGGUGAAAUGCGCAGAUAUCGGGAAGAACACCCGUGGCUAAGGCGGCUCUCUAGUACGGUACUGACGCUGAGACGCGAAAGCGUGGGGAGCGAACAGG
RNAcentral lists this ribosomal RNA (254 nucleotides) under uncultured bacterium. RNAcentral describes it as "partial 16S ribosomal RNA". It matches the Rfam family "Bacterial small subunit ribosomal RNA", at positions 524 to 776 of the family's 1533-position model. The record is from RNAcentral.